UUUAUUUAUUUGACAGAGAGACGCCCGAUCUCGUCUGAUCUCGGAAGCUAAGCAGGGUCGGGCCUGGUUAGUACUUGGAUGGGAGACAGAGAGAGAGAGAUCACAAGUAGGC
RNAcentral lists this ribosomal RNA (112 nucleotides) under Mustela putorius furo (domestic ferret). The record is from RNAcentral. Lineage: Eukaryota; Metazoa; Chordata; Mammalia; Carnivora; Mustelidae.